Molecule: ribosomal RNA, 902 nt
Filed under: Thermodesulfobiaceae bacterium enrichment culture clone B312109
Lineage: Bacteria; Pseudomonadati; Thermodesulfobiota; Thermodesulfobiia; Thermodesulfobiales; Thermodesulfobiaceae
Description: bacterial SSU rRNA
Rfam family: Bacterial small subunit ribosomal RNA
Source: RNAcentral
AGAGUUUGAUCAUGGCUCAGGACGAACGCUGGCGGCGUGCCUAAUGCAUGCAAGUCGAGCGAGCUACAGUCUUCGGACUGUAGCUUAGCGGCGAACGGGUGAGUAACACGUAGGUGAUCUACCCUUCAGAGGAGGACAACUUCAGGAAACUGAGGCUAAACCUUCAUACGUUCACUGGUAGGGAUACUGGUGAAGAAAGAGUUACCGUCAAGGUAGCUGCUGAAGGAUGAGCCUGCGGCCCAUCAGGUAGUUGGUGAGGUAAUGGCUCACCAAGCCGAAGACGGGUAACCGGUCUGAGAGGAUGUCCGGUCACACUGGGACUGAGACACGGCCCAGACUCCUACGGGAGGCAGCAGCAGGGAAUCUUGGGCAAUGGGCGAAAGCCUGACCCAGCGACGCCGCGUGGAGGAAGAAGUCCUUCGGGGCGUAAACUCCUGGACUGGGGGACGAGGAAGGACGGUACCCCAGUAGAAAGGGACGGCUAACUACGUGCCAGCAGCCGCGGUAAAACGUAGGUCCCGAGCGUUGUUCGGAUUCACUGGGUGUAAAGGGCGCGUAGGUGGUUGUCUGUGUCUCAUGUGAAAACUCAGGGCUCAACUCUGAGAUUGCGUGGGAAACUAGGCAGCUAGAGGACGGUAGAGGAGAGUGGAAUUCCCGGUGUAGCGGUAAAGUGCGUAGAUAUCGGGAGGAACACCGGUGGCGAAGGCGGCUCUCUGGGCCGAUCCUGACGCUGAGGCGCGAAAGCUAGGGGAGCGAACCGGAUUAGAUACCCGGGUAGUCCUAGCCGUAAACGAUGGGUGCUAGGUGUUGGGGGGUAAAGACCCUUCAGUGCCGAAGCCAACGCGAUAAGCAUCCCACCUGGGGAGUACGGCCGCAAGGUUGAAACUCAAAUGAAUUGACGG